RNAcentral lists this transfer RNA (85 nucleotides) under Nocardia sp. CS682. RNAcentral's name for it is "tRNA-Tyr". It matches the Rfam family "tRNA". Rfam says of the family: Transfer RNA (tRNA) molecules are approximately 80 nucleotides in length. Their secondary structure includes four short double-helical elements and three loops (D, anti-codon, and T loops). Further hydrogen bonds mediate the characteristic L-shaped molecular structure. tRNAs have two regions of fundamental functional importance: the anti-codon, which is responsible for specific mRNA codon recognition, and the 3' end, to which the tRNAs corresponding amino acid is attached (by aminoacyl-tRNA synthetases). tRNAs cope with the degeneracy of the genetic code in two manners: having more than one tRNA (with a specific anti-codon) for a particular amino acid; and 'wobble' base-pairing, i.e. permitting non-standard base-pairing at the 3rd anti-codon position. The record is from RNAcentral. Lineage: Bacteria; Bacillati; Actinomycetota; Actinomycetes; Mycobacteriales; Nocardiaceae.
GGCAGCAUGCCCGAGCGGCCGAAGGGGCCUGACUGUAAAUCAGGUGUAUUCACCACCGGAGGUUCGAAUCCUCCUGCUGCCACCC